UACGUAGGGUGCGAGCGUUGUCCGGAAUUAUUGGGCGUAAAGGGUUCGUAGGCGGUCUGUCGCGUCGGGAGUGAAAACUCAGGGCUUAACCCUGAGCCUGCUUCCGAUACGGGCAGACUAGAGGUAUGCAGGGGAGAACGGAAUUCCUGGUGUAGCGGUGAAAUGCGCAGAUAUCAGGAGGAACACCGGUGGCGAAGGCGGUUCUCUGGGCAUUACCUGACGCUGAGGAGCGAAAGUGUGGGGAGCGAACAGG
RNAcentral lists this ribosomal RNA (253 nucleotides) under uncultured bacterium. Its description in RNAcentral is "partial 16S ribosomal RNA". It matches the Rfam family "Bacterial small subunit ribosomal RNA", at positions 524 to 776 of the family's 1533-position model. The record is from RNAcentral.